This 650-nucleotide ribosomal RNA is filed under the name Burkholderia territorii. Its description in RNAcentral is "partial 23S ribosomal RNA". It matches the Rfam family "Bacterial large subunit ribosomal RNA", at positions 2287 to 2925 of the family's 2925-position model. Lineage: Bacteria; Pseudomonadati; Pseudomonadota; Betaproteobacteria; Burkholderiales; Burkholderiaceae. The record is from RNAcentral.
CUCCCAAAGCGUAACGGAGGAGUACGAAGGUACGCUAGGUACGGUCGGAAAUCGUGCUGAUAGUGCAAUGGCAUAAGCGUGCUUAACUGCGAGACCGACAAGUCGAGCAGGUGCGAAAGCAGGUCAUAGUGAUCCGGUGGUUCUGUAUGGAAGGGCCAUCGCUCAACGGAUAAAAGGUACUCUGGGGAUAACAGGCUGAUACCGCCCAAGAGUUCAUAUCGACGGCGGUGUUUGGCACCUCGAUGUCGGCUCAUCUCAUCCUGGGGCUGUAGCCGGUCCCAAGGGUAUGGCUGUUCGCCAUUUAAAGAGGUACGUGAGCUGGGUUUAAAACGUCGUGAGACAGUUUGGUCCCUAUCUGCCGUGGGCGUUGGAUAUUUGAAGGGGGCUGCUCCUAGUACGAGAGGACCGGAGUGGACGAACCUCUGGUGUACCGGUUGUCACGCCAGUGGCAUCGCCGGGUAGCUAUGUUCGGAAGAGAUAACCGCUGAAAGCAUCUAAGCGGGAAACUCGCCUUAAGAUGAGAUAUCCCUGGGGACUAGAUCCCCUUGAAGGGUCGUUCGAGACCAGGACGUUGAUAGGUCGGGUGUGUAAGCGCAGUAAUGCGUUCAGCUAACCGAUACUAAUUGCCCGUAAGGCUUGAUCCUAUAACA